This 465-nucleotide ribosomal RNA is filed under the name uncultured bacterium. Its description in RNAcentral is "partial 16S ribosomal RNA". It matches the Rfam family "Bacterial small subunit ribosomal RNA", at positions 338 to 795 of the family's 1533-position model. The record is from RNAcentral.
CCUACGGGAGGCAGCAGUAGGGAAUCUUCCACAAUGGGCGAAAGCCUGAUGGAGCAACGCCGCGUGGGUGAAGAAGGUCUUCGGAUCGUACAACCCUGUUGUUAGAGAAGAAAGUGCGUGAGAGUAACUGUUCAAGUUUCGACGGAAUCUAACCAGAAAGCCACAGCUAACUACGUGCAAGCAGCAGCGGUAAUAAGUAGGUGGCAAGCGUUAUCCGGAGUUAUUGGGCGUAAAGGGAACGCAGGCGGUCUUUUAAGUCGGAUGUGAAAGCCUUCGGCUUAACCGGAGUAGUGCAUUGGAAACUGGGAGAAUUGAGUGCAGAAGAGGAGAGUGGAACUCCAUGUGUAGCGGUGAAAUGCGUAGAUAUAUGGAAGAACACCAGUGGCGAAGGCGGCUCUCUGGUCUGUAACUGACGCUGAGGUUCGAAAGCGUGGGUAGCAAACAGGAUUAGAUACCCCAGUAGUC